ACCCAAUGAGCCGCGGCCCAAGGUCAUCCUCGUCUGCUCGUCUCGGUUGGUGAACGAGGGAAGCUACAGAAGAAAGCCCUUGCAAUCCCCGUUCAUCGUCGUUUCCUCGGUCAUUGGACAUCGUCGGUGAUCGCACUGUUGUCGUAACUUCCUCUUUCUCCUUUUCGCCUCAACUGCAAUCAUCGUGCGCUGCAUUGUUGAUUCUGGAAGUAACUGGAGUCUCUGCCGCUACAGGAUGGCUUUAUAGAGUCUACCAAGCAGGGAGAUCUUCCUGUCGCAUCCCUAUUGGACCUUCUUAAUGAGUCGUCAAUUGGGACAGUAAUAUUACUGGCCGUUAUUUUUGUAUAUUUUUACAGAAAAAAACAAAUAAAAGAGAUAAUUUUGGAUCA
Molecule: long non-coding RNA, 389 nt
Organism: Dendrobium catenatum
Lineage: Eukaryota; Viridiplantae; Streptophyta; Magnoliopsida; Asparagales; Orchidaceae
Exons: 2
Source: RefSeq, a predicted model, not a curated record